UACGUAGGGUGCGAGCGUUAAUCGGAAUUACUGGGCGUAAAGCGUGCGCAGGCGGUUUUGUAAGUCUGUCGUGAAAUCCCCCGGGCUUAACCUGGGAAUUGCGAUGGAGACUGCAAGGCUAGAAUCUGGCAGAGGGGGGUAGAAUUCCACGUGUAGCAGUGAAAUGCGUAGAGAUGUGGAGGAACACCGAUGGCGAAGGCAGCCCCCCUGGGUCAAGAUUGACGCUCAUGCACGAAAGCGUGGGGAGCAAACAGG
Molecule: ribosomal RNA, 255 nt
Filed under: uncultured bacterium
Lineage: Bacteria
Description: partial 16S ribosomal RNA
Rfam family: Bacterial small subunit ribosomal RNA
Source: RNAcentral